RNAcentral lists this long non-coding RNA (3932 nucleotides) under Strigops habroptila (Kakapo). RNAcentral's name for it is "lncRNA (ENSSHBG00005012262.1)". Lineage: Eukaryota; Metazoa; Chordata; Aves; Psittaciformes; Psittacidae. The record is from RNAcentral.
GUAAUAAAAGUAACCUAAUAUUAUCAUAAGCCACUGUAAUUAUGUAUGGUAUGUAAACAGUGCUUUUAAAAAUCAUACGUGGCUAUUAUUUGAGCAUGCUCAUUUCAUGCAAGACAAACAGGUGAUGUGCUGAGGUGAACCAUGGCAGAGAAGCCAGAAACUCGAGUGCUAGCCAUAGCUAUGGCAUUGAUUCAUUCUUUGCCUAUGGCAAGUACUAAAUCCAACACUUUCAACAAUGACACCUGGUCUUUGAUCCAUUUUACAGACAUAAUCUUUUUAAAGCUGCUGACCUACAUCUUCUAGUAAUGUGAAUAAUUAUGAACAUAGGCAUUGUCAGUUUAGGCCAAAGGGGGGCUCAGCAUGUUUCAGGCUUUUUCCCUUGCUACUCAGGAAAACUGAUACAUAAGAUGUUCACGCUGAACUGAAACAACUGAGAUAUAAGCAACCAAGUUGGCCAUCUACUACCCAUCAGGCAGUUUUGUUUCAGGUUGUGCAUAGGCCAUAUUUAUUGUAGCCCUUUAGAUAAAACAGACAAAAAAAUCCACAAGUAUCAGGAAGAAUUAAAAAGCAGAGGAGACCAAAAUGGAUAAGCAAAAAAUACCUCUAUCAUUGCAGCUGACUUUGCAGACUACUAUGCUUAACACAAGAUUUCCCAUAGUAUUUUGAUGAACCCAAGUGUUUACACAACCUGUGCUGUAACAAGUAAAUUGGAAAUAUAUUUAUUAAAAUGAAAAAUAAUUACCUAGUGAAGACAGAAUUACUGUAUUUAGGUAGCUAUUAGUCCAAGGCUAUGAAUCAGAAUUCCCACAAUAAAACCAGGUAAUCAAGACAUGCAUCAGCCUUUAGAAGGGGACAGUCACAACCGAGUCACUGAGCACAUUCUACUUUGACAUGUAUUAGAAGAGAAACAAGGCCCAUUGCAAAUUCUAGCAUUAAUCAGCUGCAAGAAAAAACUCAGCCUGAUUCUCAAAUUCACCAACUAGAGGAAAAAGUGACAAGAGGCAGGAUGAAAGUAAAACUGCGGUUCCAGGUUUUGGUCCACUGAACACUUUACCAUUAAGAGUUCAUUCCACUCUCAGCCUGUUACCAGCUACCUUCAAGAGUUCCUGACUUUUGAGAAACCCAUUCCUGGAUGCCCAGCCCUACCCAGGCAUUUUAGGGUGAGUCUAUGUGUCUAUCCUAGGAUGUUGUUUCGAAAAUGAGACGCAAUGUCAAUUUGAUUAUUGUCAUCAGUGGUACAUAAUGCACGGUGUGCAUCCUUGUAUCCUGCCAUGGGUGCAUCACUUGAGCCUAUUAUUACUACUAUUACUAUUCUUCCUACUGCUAUAUAGCUUAAUAGAAACAUAAAUUGUUAUGGAUCUGCCCAGCUGAGUAACCACUUUCUGAAAGACACAUAGAGAGAGCUAAUGUACAACUGUUAUCUCAAAAUUAAGUCAUUUUAGUCAAAGAUAUGUAAGCCAGCUAGAUGAAAAGGUAGCACAACUCUAAUCGGCUUCUUACAGAAAACAAUCUCAUCUUUCCUAGAGGGAUAAACAAACAUUUCUACUUGUAAUACAUAAAGAGAACUAACCAAAAAUGUAGUGCACUAGGACAAAUACUGUAGUUUAUAAACAAAGCCAGUACCCUAAGCUUUCAGGGAAAACAAAAAAUAAAAACCUGAUAUAAAGUAUUUUAAAAAACAGAGUGAAAGCCCAAAGAAUGAAACAGUCAGCAGAAAACAGAGCCACCAAUGUACUUGCAUGAACAGAAAAAUACAAUUGGAAAAUAAAAUAAGCCGGCUGUCUGCCAGCAACCUUGAUCUUAAUCCCACUAAAAUUAACCACAAAUUCCUAUCAACUUCAGUGUAACAGGAUUGGACAUUUGAAUUAGAAAGCUAUGGGCUUUGCAAGGUAAGUACAAAAUACAGCUUCUAAAGUUUGUUCUAGCAACAUUAACACAAUCAGUUAAACACAGAAUUAGCACACUUACACAACUGCCAGGUGUUUAUAAUAUAAACCUGAAAAGUUACUUUUCAUAAACUUAACACCCAUUGCUCAGAAAACACCAGAAUUCUGGUACUCAUGUCUCCAUCACCCCUAGCAAAGCACAGGUGUCUUUAAAGAAGUAACAAUGUCAAACUUUCUAAAACAGACAGGCAAAAACAUAUAGUGAUAUUAGUGCAUAGUGUGUAGUGUCUGCACAUGUAGAAUCUUAGUGGAUGAUUAUGAAGCAAAAUAGCACAGUACUGUAAAUGUCAUACUGCCUGUUUGCACUUGCAAGCCCAUGUGUACCAUGAUGGGCAAUGUAAACCUAAAUCCAGACUUACAGAAUACACAAAUAAGCCUACCUGUUCAUAAAAUCUCACACAUAAUUAAACCUGUGUAAGAUACAGUGCAGACAUGCAGGAUGAUAGCAAUACUCUCUAUAGUCAUGAUCGUACUGUGACUUCCUAUUUUAAUGUUGUACAUUGGAGAAGUUAACAAUCUUCGUAUACAGUGCUGAAUUAAAACAAACAGAAAAGAGACAGACUGUAUCUACUAAUAUUCACCUUUCUAAGAAUAUUCUAUUCCCAGCACUAGAAUGAGAACAUCACAAAUACUAUAUCUUAACAAUGCAAAGUACUCCUUCAGCAGUUUAAGCUAGCCAUCUAGCAUCUUGAACCUGUUUUCACCUCUGAAACUGAUAUACCUAUCCAUAUAUCACAGUUUAAGUAGAGAAUGUUUAAUACAUUCUAUUUCUUUGAAAAUUAUUUGCAAAGAUAUAAAUUUAUUAGCUUACAAAACAUAAAAAAAAAAUACAUUAAAUGUUUGAAAUCAGACAGAAACAGAUUAUUCUUCUGCCAUAUUUUCUGUUUGGAAACACCUGAAAUACCUGUGUUAAUUCCUCCCUGUUCUUUCAAGAGGACCUGCUGCACAGACACUGUAAGCUAUCAUACCUUAACCAAUGAUGAAAGUCAAUGAAUCUAUAGUUUAUGCAUCUUCUUCAUAACGUUAGUCCAAUGAGUUAAUCUGGUAUUAGCAUGGUUAAAUGUGGCAACAAUUUUGAGAAGCAAGUGCAAAACCCUGUUUCAGCUCAAGCUGCUAAAGUAAACCUCUAUCUUGUUGUAGUGAAGAUGUUUUUUCACUAGGUCACUAGUCUUGUAGAUAUGGAUUUCUCAUUGAAGACAUGAGCAGCAAAUGACACAAAAAGGGAAAUGGCUACAAUCUGCAAUAGUUUACGAUUUAUCUUUCAAAAUACAGAAAUGCCUGUAUACUUUUCUUCCUAAAUAAGAAUUCAUCCUUUUAAAAGUUAAUAUGUAAGCAUAAUAAUUUCUCCCUCUCUCUUCUUUCAGUAAAUGUCCCACCCACACAAGCAGCAACAGUUUCCCUUUCAUUAUCCUUGAAGCAUUUUUUUCUCUUGUGUCAAAAUUGCCCAUUUUUUCUAGCCAAUAUCUAACAGUUUUCAACCUGGACAUGCUGUCCUAAUCUUUUUUAGGGUACAUCCCAGUCAGUCCUCUGCACCAGGAGACAUUUCUUAUUUUUUCAAGAAGCAUUUUAAUAAUGUACAUAAAUAUAGGUUUAUAUAAAACAGUAGUAUUCAAGCACAUAAAGCCAGCAGAAUCCUUUCUUCUCAUCCUCUUCACUUGGCUUACAUUAUUUUCUUUGACUUGGAUUGUUACAUUUUUCUCAUUGCACUUUAUCUGCUUCUUUCUUUUUACAGUUAGAAGUUGGCUGGUAGAACAGAUUCUUCUUUCAGCUUCUCAGAAAAGACAGCAUGCCUCAACUGCGUGUAGUACAACGUUUGCUGACAGACCCUUUAAAAAAAAAUACACUUCAGCUGUUUUAUUAAAUGAGUCAUACAAAUGCUGGGGGAUAAUAUAUAGUAACACAAACUGAAUGCUCAAGUGAGAAAGGAGCAAAUAGUACCUACGAUGCAAUUCUAUGUCCAGAAAUAAAGACGGCAUAAAAGCAAAA